GUCAGCUCGUGUCGUGAGAUGUUGGGUUAAGUCCCGCAACGAGCGCAACCCUUAAACUUAGUUGCCAGCAUUUAGUUGGGCACUCUAAGUUGACUGCCGGUGACAAACCGGAGGAAGGUGGGGAUGACGUCAAAUCAUCAUGCCCCUUAUGAUUUGGGCUACACACGUGCUACAAUGGACAAUACAAAGGGCAGCUAAACCGCGAGGUCAUGCAAAUCCCAUAAAGUUGUUCUCAGUUCGGAUUGUAGUCUGCAACUCGACUACAUGAAGCUGGAAUCGCUAGUAAUCGUAGAUC
Molecule: ribosomal RNA, 295 nt
Filed under: bacterium M00.F.Ca.ET.163.01.1.1
Lineage: Bacteria
Description: partial 16S ribosomal RNA
Rfam family: Bacterial small subunit ribosomal RNA
Source: RNAcentral